RNAcentral lists this ribosomal RNA (464 nucleotides) under uncultured bacterium. RNAcentral's name for it is "partial 16S ribosomal RNA". It matches the Rfam family "Bacterial small subunit ribosomal RNA", at positions 338 to 795 of the family's 1533-position model. The record is from RNAcentral.
CCUCCUUGUGUCCUCCUUUUUGCCUCUUCCGCCAUGGGCGCACGCCUGCCGGAGCAACGCCGCGCGAUCGAAUGAAGGCCUUCGGGUUGUAAAGAUCUGUUGACAGGGACGAAUAAGCAAUGCGAAUAGUUUUGUGUAUGACGGUACCUGUUUAGAAAGCUCCGGCUAACUACGUGCCAGCAGCCGCGGUAAUACGUAGGGAGGAAGCGUUGUCCGGAAUUACUGGGCGUAAAGGGCGCGUAGGUGGGCGCUUAAGUCAGGUGUGAAAACUCCGGGCUCAACCUGGAGACUGCACUUGAAACUGGGUGUCUUGAGGGCAGGAGAGGAAAGUGGAAUUCCUAGUGUAGCGGUGAAAUGCGUAGAUAUUAGGAGGAACACCAGUGGCGAAGGCGACUUUCUGGACUGUACCUGACGCUGAGGCGCGAAAGCGUGGGUAGCGAACGGGAUUAGAUACCCCUGUAGUC